This 67-nucleotide transfer RNA is filed under the name Marmota monax (woodchuck). RNAcentral describes it as "tRNA.Ala". The record is from RNAcentral. Lineage: Eukaryota; Metazoa; Chordata; Mammalia; Rodentia; Sciuridae.
GGAUUGUGGCUCAGCGGUAGAGCGCUCACCUAGCACCAGCGGGACCCGGGUUCAAUCCUCAGCACCA